This 457-nucleotide ribosomal RNA is filed under the name uncultured organism. Its description in RNAcentral is "bacterial SSU rRNA". It matches the Rfam family "Bacterial small subunit ribosomal RNA", at positions 28 to 507 of the family's 1533-position model. The record is from RNAcentral.
GAUGAACGCUGGCGGCGUGCCUAAUACAUGCAAGUCGAACGGGAGGUAGCAAUACCUCUAGUGGCGAACGGGUGAGUAACGCGUUGGUGACCUGCCCCGAAGCGUGGGAUACCAGUCCGAAAGGACUGUUAAUACCGCAUGUGGUUGUGAGGAUUAGAGGCCUUGCAACAAAAGGAGAACUUCACUUCGGGAGGGGCCUGCGUCCCAUCAGCUAGUUGGUAAGGUAACGGCUUACCAAGGCGAUGACGGGUAGGGGACCUGAGAGGGUGAUCCCCCACAAUGGAACUGAAACACGGUCCAUACACCUACGGGUGGCAGCAGUAGGGAAUAUUGCAAAAUGGGCGCAAGCCCGAUGCAGCAACGCCGCGUGGGCGAUGAAGGCCUUCGGGUCGUAAAGCCCUUUUUGAGGGGAUGAGGAAGGACAGUACCCUCAGAAUAAGCCUCGGCUAACUACGUG